AUUGAACGCUGGCGGAAUGCUUUACACAUGCAAGUCGAACGGCAGCACGGACUUCGGUCUGGUGGCGAGUGGCGAACGGGUGAGUAAUGUAUCGGAACGUGCCCAGUCGUGGGGGAUAACGUAGUGAAAAUUACGCUAAUACCGCAUACGAUCUAUGGAUGAAAGCGGGGGAUCGCAAGACCUCGCGCGAUUGGAGCGGCCGAUAUCAGAUUAGGUAGUUGGUGGGGUAAAGGCCCACCAAGCCAACGAUCUGUAGCUGGUCUGAGGGGACGACCAGACACACUGGAACUGAGACACGGUCCAGACUCCUACGGGAGGCAGCAGUGGGGAAUUUUGGACAAUGGGCGAAAGCCUGAUCCAGCCAUUCCGCGUGCAGGAUGAAGGCCCUCGGGUUGUAAACUGCUUUUGUACAGAACGAAAAGGUUUCUACUAAUACUAGGAGCUCAUGACGGUACUGUAAGAAUAAGCACCGGCUAACUACGUGCCAGCAGCCGCCGCUG
This 500-nucleotide ribosomal RNA is filed under the name uncultured bacterium. RNAcentral's name for it is "partial 16S ribosomal RNA". It matches the Rfam family "Bacterial small subunit ribosomal RNA", at positions 30 to 523 of the family's 1533-position model. The record is from RNAcentral.